This is a long non-coding RNA of Tachysurus fulvidraco (yellow catfish), 391 nucleotides long. RefSeq lists it as uncharacterized. The transcript is spliced from 3 exons. Lineage: Eukaryota; Metazoa; Chordata; Actinopteri; Siluriformes; Bagridae. The record is from RefSeq and is a predicted model, not a curated record.
UGGACGUCUGAAUCUAAUCGAGGUUGGUUUCUAUUUAUUGCUCCACGCUAGGCUGAAGCACGUGGUGCUGGGAGAAAGGCACCGGCGGCCGUCCCUCUGGGAGCAGAGACUGACGGAGGAUUCCGCUCUAUUUCAGACACACGUACGACAGAGUUGGGGAAAAAUACACAGGCUCGUGAUGAGCUAAAUGAAGCGGCGAGGUAAAGUGACUCAUCCGAUUGUGCGCUUUCCAAACGUGUGGCGCUUCGAGAGAGAGAGUAAAACUUUUUCUCUGAAAGAGAAACCGUCUUGGACUCGUCCCAAAUACCUGCAAGAGACAGAAGGAAGGGAAGGAGAGAGCUACAGGAGACAGCAGGAGACAGGAUGAAAGCGUGACAAAGACAGGAUAGAG